GCGCACGAGCGCAUCGGUGAGCCGGGAGGGUGGGGAGAAUAGUUGUGGGCGCGCGGACUCCGCAGGCUCGGACAUGUCCCAGACGAGAGGUGUUGCCACGUUGGGUUGGCGCGCAAGGAUUGGAUUUAGUGAGACGCUGCCUGGUGCAUAGCGCGAAGGCGAAUGGAGAUCGGCUUUUGUGGGCAGUGGUGACCGGAAGAGCUGCGGGGGUGUUGCAGGUCCGGGUGUGGAAUCUAGUGUUGAGCUCGUGUAGGUCGACGAG
Molecule: unclassified non-coding RNA, 262 nt
Filed under: Hevea brasiliensis (rubber tree)
Lineage: Eukaryota; Viridiplantae; Streptophyta; Magnoliopsida; Malpighiales; Euphorbiaceae
Source: RNAcentral